ACGCCCAACAGCUAGCCCGCACAAGCAAUAGCAAUAGACCACUAUACAUAACCCCAAAUACACAGAAUUUAAGUAAACAAACCAUUUUUUUCCCUUAGUAUGGGCGACAGAAAAGGGACCCGAGGAGCCAUAGAAAAAGUACCGCAAGGGAACGCUGAAAGAGAAAUGAAACAACCCAGUGAAGCCUAAAAAAGCAGAGACUCACACUCGUACCUUUUGCAUCAUGAUUUAGCAAGUGUAAUUCAAGCAAAGCGUACUUUAGUUUGAUAACCCGAAACUACGUGAGCUACUCCGUGACAGCCUAUACAAAAGGGCAAACCCGUCUCUGUGGCAAAAGAGUGGGACGAUCACCGAGUAGAGGUGAAAAACCUACCGAACCUAGUUAUAGCUGGUUGCCCGAGAAAUGGAUAGAAGUUCAGCCUUGCCGCUUCUUUCUUCCCUUCAGUAACUUCUCCCACUGAUAUCCAAGAAUACUGCAAGAGUUAGUCAAAGGGGGUACAGCCCCUUUGAAACAAGACACAACUUUACCAGGAGGGUAAAGAUCAUAAUAAGUUAAAGGUGUAAAUUUUUUGGUGGGCUUAGAAGCAGCCACCCCCACAGAAAGCGUUAAAGCUCAGACAUAUACCACAAUCCCCCUAUUCUGAUCAUAAAAUCUUAUCCCCCUAAUUUUACCGGGCCGUCCUAUGCAAGCAUAGGAGCGAUUAUGCUAAUAUGAGUAAUAAGAGAGCCCCGCCUCUCUCCCCGCACGCGUGUAAAUCGGAACGGACCUCCCACCGAGCACUAACGGCCCCAAACAAAGAGGGCACUGGACAACAAACUAAACAACUAGGAAACUGUCCAACACUAUACCGUUAACCCCACACAGGUGUGCCCCUAGGGAAAGACUAAAAGAAGGAGAAGGAACUCGGCAAAUACACAAAGCCUCGCCUGUUUACCAAAAACAUCGCCUCUUGCAAGACUAACGAAUAAGAGGUCCCGCCUGCCCUGUGACUCUUAGUUUAACGGCCGCGGUAUUUUGACCGUGCGAAGGUAGCGCAAUCACUUGUCUUUUAAAUGGAGACCUGUAUGAAUGGCACGACGAGGGCUUGACUGUCUCCUCUUUCAAGUCAAUGAAAUUGAUCUUCCCGUGCAGAAGCGGGAAUGACCUCAUAAGACGAGAAGACCCUGUGGAGCUUUAGACACCAAGGCGAGUCAUGUUAAAUACCCCCGGACAAGGGACUAAACCAGAUGAAUCCCGCCCUAAUGUCUUUGGUUGGGGCGACCGCGGGGAAACAAAAAACCCCCACGUGGAAUGGGAACACCCCCCUCCUACAAUUAAGAGCUACAGCUCUAAACAACAGAACUUCUGACCAGCAAGAUCCGGAAAUACCGAUCAACGAACCGAGUUACCCCAGGGAUAACAGCGCAAUCCCCUUUUAGAGCCCGUAUCAACAAGGGGGUUUACGACCUCGAUGUUGGAUCAGGACAUCCUAAUGGUGCAGCCGCUAUUAAGGGUUCGUUUGUUCAACGAUUAAAGUCCUACGUGAUCUGAGUUCAGACCGGAGUAAUCCAGGUCAGUUUCUAUCUAUGACAUGCUCUUUUCUAGUACGAAAGGACCGAAAAGAAGAGGCCCCUACCGCAAGUACGCCUCACCCUUACCUGAUGAAAACAACUAAAGUAGGCAAGAGGGCAUGCCCUUGUGCCGGAGAAAACGGCAU
This 1697-nucleotide ribosomal RNA is filed under the name Bembras japonica (red flathead). Its description in RNAcentral is "16S ribosomal RNA". It matches the Rfam family "Bacterial large subunit ribosomal RNA". Lineage: Eukaryota; Metazoa; Chordata; Actinopteri; Perciformes; Bembridae. The record is from RNAcentral.